Non-coding RNA from Arachis ipaensis, 126 nucleotides. NCBI's taxonomy places the organism in Eukaryota, Viridiplantae, Streptophyta, Magnoliopsida, Fabales, Fabaceae. The record is from RefSeq and is a predicted model, not a curated record.
CCAAUUGGAGAAAAAAAGGAUAGUCCUUGCUCGUAUCAAUGACAACUGGAGACGGUAUAAGACCACAAUCAAGCAAAAUCAUUUUCUGCCAUACAAAAGUGUUAAUGAAAUGCUGAAAAAUCGUCC